UUUCCUUUACUUUAUUAUUAAACUUAAACAAAGAAUCCUUUGACUUUAUUUGCCAAAACCUUGAAAGCAAGGAAGGGCCUCUUUCCAUCCAUAGAAUCUCUUCCUUAUGCUAGCACUUUCUGCUAUCUUUCUUAACUUGCUUCUAUCAGCAGCUUGUAAACUCCGACCAUUGUCUCAGUGAAGUAGCCCAUGGGUAUGGGAUACGAACGAUUAAG
RNAcentral lists this long non-coding RNA (215 nucleotides) under Solanum pimpinellifolium. Its description in RNAcentral is "long non-coding RNA (SPIM_LNC000230)". The record is from RNAcentral. Lineage: Eukaryota; Viridiplantae; Streptophyta; Magnoliopsida; Solanales; Solanaceae.